AAUCAACGCUGGCGGCGUGCCUCAGACAUGCAAGUCGAACGCGAAAGUUCCCUCGGGGAGCGAGUAGAGUGGCGCACGGGUGAGUAACACGUGGAUAAUUUACCUCGGUGGGGAAUAACAACCGGAACGGUUGCUAAUACCGCAUAAUGCAGCGGCAUCUAUGAUGACAGUUGUUAAAGCGGGGGAGUCGCAAGACCUCGCGCCUGAAGAGAAGUCCGCGGC
Molecule: ribosomal RNA, 222 nt
Filed under: uncultured bacterium
Lineage: Bacteria
Description: partial 16S ribosomal RNA
Rfam family: Bacterial small subunit ribosomal RNA
Source: RNAcentral